Molecule: ribosomal RNA, 364 nt
Filed under: Klebsiella pneumoniae
Lineage: Bacteria; Pseudomonadati; Pseudomonadota; Gammaproteobacteria; Enterobacterales; Enterobacteriaceae
Description: partial 23S ribosomal RNA
Rfam family: Bacterial large subunit ribosomal RNA
Source: RNAcentral
AUAACAGGCUGAUACCGCCCAAGAGUUCAUAUCGACGGCGGUGUUUGGCACCUCGAUGUCGGCUCAUCACAUCCUGGGGCUGAAGUAGGUCCCAAGGGGAUGGCUGUUCGCCAUUUAAAGUGGUACGCGAGCUGGGUUUAGAACGUCGUGAGACAGUUCGGUCCCUAUCUGCCGUGGGCGCUGGAGAAUUGAGGGGGGCUGCUCCUAGUACGAGAGGACCGGAGUGGACGCAUCACUGGUGUUCGGGUUGUCAUGCCAAUGGCACUGCCCGGUAGCUAAAUGCGGAAGAGAUAAGUGCUGAAAGCAUCUAAGCACGAAACUUGCCCCGAGAUGAGUUCUCCCUGAGACUUUAAGUCUCCUGAAG